GAUUCCCCAGCAGAAGACGCGCUCGGGAAGUGCCUCAGCGCUCACCGCCGAACGCUGCGAGGAGAGGGGAACAGCUGGGGGCGGCGGCGAACAUCGAGGGGGAUCGGAGGGUGGGAAAAUGCGUGCCCUUUGACCCAGUUGAGGGGUGCAGCUGCAAGAUUCCGGAUGAGACAAAUACAGUCUUAAACCCAUCCUCUUCAGCUGUGAAAUUCAUCAAAGUGUGCUGAUUAACUACAAUUUAAGUCUAGCAGCAAGUCGGAAGGAGGCCUGAUCCUCGCUCUAAGAAGGGGAGCUUGGGGGCCACAGGUAAGGCCCCGCCCCCUUCGCCCGCACCUGGAGGAAGGUACCGGGGGCUGAGCUCCGGCGCCCACCGG
RNAcentral lists this long non-coding RNA (374 nucleotides) under Sus scrofa (pig). Its description in RNAcentral is "lncRNA (ENSSSCG00005007355.1)". Lineage: Eukaryota; Metazoa; Chordata; Mammalia; Artiodactyla; Suidae. The record is from RNAcentral.